GUUUCUUGCAUAAGCCUAGCUCUAAAAAUUGAGGGAACAAGUUUAGAAGUUCCCAAAGUAGUUUGUAAAGCACUUUGGCUUCUAGGUUGAGUAGCAUCCUUAGGUGGGACUAAUGGUGGAGUCAUCAUUUCCUUAUAGCAUUCAUAUAACCUGUGAAGUGUGUUUUCAACUUUUUUUAACAACAUAUUUGCAAUUUGUACAUCAUAAAUAAGUUCAAACCCAACUUUAAGCAAUUCCAACUUGCAUCUAGGGUCAAGAAUUGUUGCUAUGAAC
Molecule: long non-coding RNA, 273 nt
Filed under: Olea europaea (common olive)
Lineage: Eukaryota; Viridiplantae; Streptophyta; Magnoliopsida; Lamiales; Oleaceae
Description: long non-coding RNA (OEUR_LNC010141)
Source: RNAcentral